Cotesia glomerata is the source of this 718-nucleotide long non-coding RNA. RefSeq lists it as uncharacterized. The transcript is spliced from 2 exons. Lineage: Eukaryota; Metazoa; Arthropoda; Insecta; Hymenoptera; Braconidae. The record is from RefSeq and is a predicted model, not a curated record.
UAAUUAUGAGAAAAUUUUAAAUAAAUAAUUUCUAAUAUAUAAUAUUGUAAAUUUUCGGUGGACGAAAAGAAGAAAAUUUUAAAAGAAAAUGGAAGUUUUUAGACGGAGAAGAAGUGCGCGCGCAUUCCAUCUCUUUUCGACGCGCAUACGCAGCAUUUUGUUGGCCAAUGGAUGAAAAGAAUCAGAUGGAUUUUAAAUAAGAGGGAGAGAGUCGAGGUGAAGGGGAAGAGGAAGAAAUAACCGAGGAGACUGCGUGCGCAGUUGCCACGUUGAGCUUUCACUUGGACGUUCACAAAGAAAAUGUUCGAUCGUAAAUGCUGAUCGUUGGAUACGAGCCGUUACGAUCAUGGCGGGAAUGCUCGACGUUUGGCAACCUCGCAUUUUAUGGAGUUUAGAAUUGAGAUUUUAAGAGUUUUCGGAGAUUUUUCCGGAAAGACGCCGUGGAAAAUCGAGGCUUUGUUACUACAAGGGGGAGAGGGGUUGAAGGACGGAAAGAGAAGGGACGAUUACGAUAAACUGCCGUCGUGUUAGUAAUAUACGCUGAAAUGGAGGGGAAAAAAGAGAGAAAGAGAAGAAAACCGGGUCCGGGUCAAUAAGACGCGAGAGAGGCAGAAAGCGGACAUUCCCAGGGACGAACUAAAUAUUUUAUUUUUUUCAAUUUUAUGAAUUUUUUUUUCAUGGAAAUUUAUAAAAUUUGUAAAAAGAAUUUUCACAUUUU